Molecule: ribosomal RNA, 495 nt
Filed under: uncultured bacterium
Lineage: Bacteria
Description: partial 16S ribosomal RNA
Rfam family: Bacterial small subunit ribosomal RNA
Source: RNAcentral
GACGAACGCUGGCGGCGUGCCUAAUACAUGCAAGUAGAACGCUGAAGGAGGAGCUUGCUUCUCUGGAUGAGUUGCGAACGGGUGAGUAACGCGUAGGUAACCUGCCUGGUAGCGGGGGAUAACUAUUGGAAACGAUAGCUAAUACCGCAUAAUAGUAGAUGUUGCAUGACAUUUGCUUAAAAGGUGCAAUUGCAUCACUACCAGAUGGACCUGCGUUGUAUUAGCUAGUUGGUGGGGUAACGGCUCACCAAGGCGACGAUACAUAGCCGACCUGAGAGGGUGAUCGGCCACACUGGGACUGAGACACGGCCCAGACUCCUACGGGAGGCAGCAGUAGGGAAUCUUCGGCAAUGGACGGAAGUCUGACCGAGCAACGCCGCGUGAGUGAAGAAGGUUUUCGGAUCGUAAAGCUCGGUUGUAAGAGAAGAACGAGUGUGAGAGUGGAAAGUUCACACUGUGACGGUAUCUUACCAGAAAGAGACGGCUAACUACGUG